UACGUAGGGGGCAAGCGUUGUCCGGAUUUACUGGGCGUAAAGGGCGUGUAGGCGGUCAGGUAAGUGGGACGUGAAAUCCCUCGGCUCACCCGAGGACCUGCGUCCCAUACUGCUUGGCUUGAGUAUGGGAGAGGAUGAGGGAAUUCCUGGUGUAGCGGUGAAAUGCGUAGAUAUCAGGAGGAACACCGGUGGCGAAGGCGCUCAUCUGGCCCAAUACUGACGCUGAGGCGCGAAAGCUAGGGGAGCAAACGGG
RNAcentral lists this ribosomal RNA (253 nucleotides) under uncultured bacterium. RNAcentral's name for it is "partial 16S ribosomal RNA". It matches the Rfam family "Bacterial small subunit ribosomal RNA", at positions 524 to 776 of the family's 1533-position model. The record is from RNAcentral.